CUCGCUGGCCUCCUCGUCAGCCGCCGCGACUCCGAAGGGGAAUCCAGUGGCGGCAGAGCGGGGCCUGAGCGGCUCGAGGAAGGGGACGACGGGGGCACGCUCGUGGCGAAGGGCGAGUGGGUUGGCGGAGUGGAUGUCGGCGUCGCAGGUGACGCAGAGGGCGGCCGCGUCGGCCUUGCAGGUGACGCUCGCCGGGGCCUGCUCGCAGACCUCGCACACCCACACGCGCUCGUGUCGCGCCCCGGUCCCGUGCACACGCGCGUCGCACGCGCCGCACAGGUACGCCUCGUCCGCCCGGCAGAAGACCAGGGCCGGCCCGGACUUGCACGAGUCGCACCGCCGCGCCCCGAUCCCGCUCCAAUACCCACCUUUCGCGCUCACCAUCUCCUUCCUUCCUUCCUCUCUCUCUCUCUCGUUUUG
RNAcentral lists this long non-coding RNA (420 nucleotides) under Musa acuminata (dwarf banana). RNAcentral's name for it is "long non-coding RNA (MACU_LNC000387)". The record is from RNAcentral. Lineage: Eukaryota; Viridiplantae; Streptophyta; Magnoliopsida; Zingiberales; Musaceae.